AUUGAACGCUGGCGGCAGGCUUAACACAUGCAAGUCGAGCGGAGUGAUGGUGCUUGCACUAUCACUUAGCGGCGGACGGGUGAGUAAUGCUUAGGAAUCUGCCUUAGUGGGGGACAACAUCUCGAAAGGGAUGCUAAUACCGCAUACGUCCUACGGGAGAAAGCAGGGGAUCACUUGUGACCUUGCGCUAAUAGAUGAGCCUAAGUCGGAUUAGCUAGUUGGUGGGGUAAAGGCCUACCAAGGCGACGAUCUGUAGCGGGUCUGAGAGGAUGGUCCGCCACACUGGGAAUGAGACACGGCCCAGACUCCUACGGGAGGCAGCAGUGGGGAAUAUUGGACAAUGGGGGGAACCCUGAUCCAGCCAUGCCGCGUGUGUGAAGAAGGCCUUAUGGUUGUAAAGCACUUUAAGCGAGGAGGAGGCUCUUUUGGUUAAUACCCAAGAUGAGUGGACGUUACUCGCAGAAUAAGCACCGGCUAACUCUGUGCCAGCCGCCGCCGUAA
Molecule: ribosomal RNA, 501 nt
Filed under: uncultured bacterium
Lineage: Bacteria
Description: partial 16S ribosomal RNA
Rfam family: Bacterial small subunit ribosomal RNA
Source: RNAcentral